Molecule: long non-coding RNA, 3737 nt
Filed under: Fragaria vesca (wild strawberry)
Lineage: Eukaryota; Viridiplantae; Streptophyta; Magnoliopsida; Rosales; Rosaceae
Description: long non-coding RNA (FVES_LNC001544)
Source: RNAcentral
CACUUUUAUUGAAGUCAUGUUUUUUCCUUUGGUGUGUGCUUAUAGACACCUCCUAACAUCUUUUAAAUCAUUCUUGCAUCAAAAAUUCGUGUCUUUUGUCAUUUUUACUCACGAUCGAGCUUAAACGAUUCAUGCGUACCGCGUUUCGUAAUGCUAUUAAAACUAUUUUAAGAGCUAUUGAGUUUAUUUCCAAGCUUGUGUUGCCUUUAGUUCUUCUCAUACCGGACCUCAGGAAGCUCAAUUUUCAAAAAAAAAGUGGUAUAAUCUCUCCCUUCAGGUUUUGCCCUAUUUGAGCCAAAACCUCUUACGUACUUAUCCUCUUACUAUUUGAGCCAAAACCUCUUACUAUAAAAAUGUGGUAUAAUCUCUCCCUUCAAGUUUUUGAGAAAUUUCAUUUUUUUAGACCCCAUGUUUUUUCCAUUUGUGUGUUCAUAUUGACACCUCUUAAUAUUUUUUUAGCCAUUCUAGCAUAAAAAAUUCGUGUUUUUUGUCAUUUUCACUCACGAGAUCAAGCUUAACGACUCACGUGUAUAGUGUUUCAUAAAGCUUUUAAAACUGUUGUUUUUAGAGCUAUUGAGUUCAUUUUCAAGCUUGUGUUGUCUUCACUUCUUUUCAUACCGCCCUCAUGAACCUCAAUUUUCAAAAUAAAAAUAAAAAUGAGGUAUUCCCUCCAAGUUUCACCAAAUUUGAGUCAAACCCCUUGCUUCACGCGUUUUUAAGAAAUUUCAUUGUUUUUGGACUCCUAGUUUUUCUGUUUCGUGUGUGCUGAUAAACAACUACUAACAUCUUUUAAAACAUUCUAGCAUAAAAAAUUCUUGUCUUUUGUCAUUUUUACUUACAAUCGAGUUUCAAAGAUUCAAGGGUACUGUGUUUCGUAAAGCUAUUGAAACUGUUGUUUUCAUAGCUAUUAUGUUUAUUUCCAAGCUUGUGUUGUCUUCAAUUCUUCUCAUACCGACCUCAGGAACCUCAAUUUUUAAUAAAAUGAGGUAUAACCCUCCCUUCAACUUUAACCCAAUUUGAGCCAAAACACCUAGCUAUAUGUGACGAAUCAAAAAUUUUAUUAAGUAUCUAAAAUAAUUUUCUGCUUACUCUAAUUUGCUGGUUUACUAUAAAUGUUUAUAGGUAUAAUUGUGAUUCUAUAUAUGUGUGUUCUUUGUUUGAUUUAUUUAGUUAGGAAAAUUAUCCUUAGCUAGCUCAUAAAUUAGAACUUAGCCCAACACCAUUUGACCCAACCCGAGCCCAAACUUAAUAACCUUUCUUUUACCAGAUGGAAGAACAAGAACACGCGACAUGAACUCAAACCUUUGUUUUUCCUGUUCAUUGUCUUCCUCUCAACUCAGAACAUUCUUGAUUUGAAUCCUUGAUCAAACUCAACAGAAAUCUUGCUAAGCCGCCCUUAAACCCAGAAAAUAUCUUAGGAAAAUCUUAAAUAUUAGCAACCGACCUUGCCAAGCAGGAGGUGUCAAAUUCUCAAAGCUCGAUCGAUGACUCCUUCAAGCUAUUUUUGCAGGAGCUGGAACCCUAGGAGCCUAGAGGUGGCUGGUCUAGGAGCCAAACAGGUAAGUACUCAGUUGAACAAAUCGAUUUUGCUUUCGGUGUUCAUAUCUUAGGGAUUAAGUUCCUAGACUCUAUAAAUAGCUGUGAUCAGUAUUUUGGAGAUAAGUCUUCUAGCAAUCCCCAUACUUAGAGUGAGGGAGAGAUACCUUGGUGUAGGAAAUCAGGUGUGAUUCUAUUUUGGUUUGUUUGUGAAAUUAGAUUGAGAUCACUUUGAGACUUGUGUAUAAUUGUUUCUUUGAUUUGAAAAGUUGUAAUUGAGCAUUGGUUCGGAUUUUGUUGUUGUGAAAAGCUGUGUGUGGUAAGCAUGAUCAUUGAUUGGUUAGCCAAAUCAGUUCUAUAUUGUAAGAAAUCGAGUUAUGCAGUGGUUGUUGUUGUUAGGAUCCCAGGUCUUGGAAACUUGCCUUAAAAUUUGAGAUAGACUUAUAUCAGCAAAUUUUUUAAAAACAAAAAAACUAGAGCUGUAUCUGAAAUUCGAAAUUCAAUAAGUAAUUGUAGAAAAAUCCUUUUUGUGUGAUUCCAGUUCCAGAUUGUUCUUUUGGAUGUCUAUAUCAAAUGUUGUGAAGAUACCAUCUUUAAAUUCCCAGCCAAACUGUGUUGUUUUUGGCCCGAAAGUUUACUGGACAGAAAUUCAAGAAGUUAUCUUGUGAUAUCAGAAUUUUGUUGUUUUCAGUUGCACUUUUUCUUUCUUUGUAAUCUUUGUUGUUAUACAAUCAUAGAUGUAUUGAAUUUAGAAUAUCAUGUUUGUGAUUUGUUUAUGAAAUCAAAGGUAAAAACUAAAAGUUGAGGAUGCUUAAAACUAGCUAUAAGAUUUAGAACCACUUGUAUUGCUUCUUUGAGUAGUAGUUUUAUGUGAUGCUUGAGUAGGUUCCUUUACACUAAAAGUCUGUGAUUUUCUGUUUGUUUAACACCAAAAUGUCUAUAAUAUGUAUCUAGCUAGAAGUAUAGUUCUGCAUAUAGUUCAUGGUUUUAUUUUCAGAUACUUUAAAUAGGCUUCUAGCAGAAAUUUUCCAGAAAAAAACUCAAAACUGAAGCUGAACUUUGGAAAUUCAUAACUAAUUCUAGAAAAAUCGUUUUGGGGUGAUUCCAACUCUCAUAGUUUCUUCGGUUUGCCUGCAAUAAGUCAUUAGAAGACCUCGAAGUCAAAUUAUGAACAGUUUUGUACAGUUUUCAGUCUGUUUGUAACUGGUACAGAAAAUCAUGUUUAAGUACAGAAAAGCAUGUUUUUGUAAAAUACUUGGUACUUUAUUUCUUGUUUCAGCAUUUUUAGCUUAAACUUUUGAACUAAUGAUUCAUCUUUUAUUAGGAGCUUCAAACUUGAAGUGAGAUCCGGCAGAGGUAGGAGGAAACUUGGGAAACCUCAAUACUUGCUUUAUAUUUUGUCAUGUGAAUUACUUCUUUUUGUGAAAUUGUUGUUUUCUUACUGCAUUAUGUUCAUAAUAUGGAGUGGUUUUUCAUUUGUGUCAUAAGGAAGUAUUAGUGCUAUGCAUAAAGCACUUUGGGUAAAGAAGUUAGAUUUUUUUACUUUUGUGUAGUUGAGUCCAUAUUCUUAGCAGGAACCAUAUCCCAUGUAUGCCCAUGUUGAUGCGCAAGUAGUAUAGGUUAUGAAAAAGGGUAAUUCGGGAUUGGCGAAAGGGGAAUGGGCAAGAGGACUAGCAAAAGGGGGUUAUGUGAGUGAGUGGGAGACAGUUCAUGUAAUUAAAUAGUCCAAGCCACCCUUGUGGUAAAAUACAUGGUAUGGGACAUGUAGGCUUAAAGUAUUUUGUUAUAUGAACUAUAUGGGGCAGAUUAUACAUAUGCAUACAUGUUGUCUCUUUUGACUGGUAUUGUAUUAUUUGAAAAGGUUUUGCCUCCUAUUGGGCUAUUUAUGCUCACCCCUUUAAAUAUUUUGCAGGUAAUAAACAAGUUGUUUGAAGUUGGUUUCUUGCAAGGAUGUUUCUUUUUAAUUUCCUGUAAAAUAUGUGUGCUGUUUGCUUUCUCUUAGAAUAAGAUGUAGACUUUCUUAAGUCUAUCUUUCUUACUUUUUAUAAUGAAGAAUAAAAUUUCAGUUGGUUAGUGUUGCGUUGUUCUUUUCCAAUUUUUUUUAUAUUUUGAUUAUGAAAAUUUUAUUCUAUAAUUGAAAUAUGAGUUACACCUCAAAAAAAAAAAAUUAAAAAAAAAAUGAGGUGUGACACUAUAACGAC